AGUGGCGGACGGGUGAGUAACGCGUGAGAAUCUGCCUUGGGGUCGGGGACAACCACUGGAAACGGUGGCUAAUACCGGAUACGCCUUCGGGUAAAAGAUUUAUUGCCCUAAGAGGAGCUCGCGUCUGAUUAGCUAGUUGGUGAGGUAAGAGCUCACCAAGGCAGCGAUCAGUAGCUGGUCUGAGAGGACGAUCAGCCACACUGGGACUGAGACACGGCCCAGACUCCUACGGGAGGCAGCAGUGGGGAAUUUUCCGCAAUGGGCGAAAGCCUGACGGAGCAAGACCGCGUGAGGGAGGAAGGCUCUUGGGUUGUAAACCUCUUUUCUCAGGGAAGAAGAUCUGACGGUACCUGAGGAAUCAGCCUCGGCUAACUCCGUGCCAGCAGCCGCGGUAAUACGGAGGAGGCAAGCGUUAUCCGAAUUAUUGGGCGUAAAGCGUCCGCAGGUAGCGAUUCAAGUCUGCUGUCAAAGCACGGGGCUUAACUCCGUAAAGGCAGUGGAAACUGAAUAGCUAGAGUGCCGUAGGGGUAGAGGGAAUUCCCGGUGUAGCGGUGAAAUGCGUAGAGAUCGGGAAGAACAUCGGUGGCGAAAGCGCUCUACUGGACGGCAACUGACACUCAGGGACGAAAGCUAGGGGAGCGAAUGGGAUUAGAUACCCC
RNAcentral lists this ribosomal RNA (659 nucleotides) under uncultured bacterium. RNAcentral describes it as "bacterial SSU rRNA". It matches the Rfam family "Bacterial small subunit ribosomal RNA", at positions 94 to 788 of the family's 1533-position model. The record is from RNAcentral.